Molecule: ribosomal RNA, 413 nt
Filed under: uncultured bacterium
Lineage: Bacteria
Description: bacterial SSU rRNA
Rfam family: Bacterial small subunit ribosomal RNA
Source: RNAcentral
CUGCAAGUCGAACGAGAAAGCGGGGGCAACCCUGCGAGUAGAGUGGCAGACGGGUGAGUAACACGUGAACAACCUACCCUUGAGUGGGGAAUAACACCGCGAAAGUGGUGCUAAUACCGCAUGACAUUUCCGGAUUGCAUGAUCCGGAGAUCAAGGGCGAAAGUCGCUUGAGGAGGGGUUCGCGCCUGAUUAGCUAGUUGGUGAGGUAACGGCCCACCAAGGCAACGAUCAGUAGCCGGCCUGAGAGGGCGUACGGCCACACUGGAACUGAGACACGGUCCAGACUCCUACGGGAGGCAGCAGUGGGGAAUUUUGCGCAAUGGGCGAAAGCCUGACGCAGCAACGCCGCGUGGAGGAUGAAGGCCUUCGGGUCGUAAACUCCUGUCAGGGGGGACGAAAGCCUUAACGGGUUU